GAUGAACGCUGGCGGCGUGCCUAAUACAUGCAAGUCGAGCGAACGGACGAGAAGCUUGCUUCUCUGAUGUUAGCGGCGGAUGGGUGAGUAACACGUGGAUAACCUACCUAUAAGACUGGGAUAACUUCGGGAAACCGUAGCUAAUACCGGAUAAUAUUUUGAACCGAAUGGUUCAAAAGUGAAAGACGGUCUUGCUGUCACUUAUAGAUGGAUCCGCGCUGCAUUAGCUAGUUGGUAAGGUAACGGCUUACCAAGGCAACGAAGCAUAGCCGACCUGAGAGGGAUGUCGACCACACAGGAACUGAGACACGGUCCAAACUCCUACGGAAGGCAGCAGUAGGGAAUCUUCCGCAAUGGGCGAAAGCCUGACGGAGCAACGCCGCGUGGAUGAUGAAGGUCUUCGUAUCGUAAAACUCUGUUAUUAGGGAAGAACAUAUGUGUAAGUAACUGUGCACAUCUUGACAGUACCUAAUCAGAAAGCCACGGCUAGCUACGUG
RNAcentral lists this ribosomal RNA (497 nucleotides) under uncultured bacterium. RNAcentral describes it as "partial 16S ribosomal RNA". It matches the Rfam family "Bacterial small subunit ribosomal RNA", at positions 28 to 507 of the family's 1533-position model. The record is from RNAcentral.